AACGAACGCUGGCGGCAUGCCUAACACAUGCAAGUCGAACGAGACCCCUGACUUCGGUUGGCGGGUCUAGUGGCGCACGGGUGCGUAACGCGUGGGAAUCUGCCCUUGGGUUCGGAAUAACUCAGAGAAAUUUGAGCUAAUACCGGAUGAUGACGAAAGUCCAAAGAUUUAUCGCCCAGGGAUGAGCCCGCGUAAGAUUAGCUUGUUGGUGGGGUAAUGGCCUACCAAGGCGACGAUCUUUAGCUGGUCUGAGAGGAUGAUCAGCCACACUGGGACUCGAGACACGGCCCAGACUCCUACGGGAGGCAGCAGUGGGGAAUAUUGGACAAUGGGCGCAAGCCUGAUCCAGCAAUGCCGCGUGAGUGAUGAAGGCCUUAGGGUUGUAAAGCUCUUUUACCAGGGAUGAUAAUGACAGUACCUGGAGAAUAAGCUCCGGCUAACUCCGUG
This 447-nucleotide ribosomal RNA is filed under the name uncultured bacterium. RNAcentral describes it as "bacterial SSU rRNA". It matches the Rfam family "Bacterial small subunit ribosomal RNA", at positions 29 to 507 of the family's 1533-position model. The record is from RNAcentral.